AAAACAACCACAAAAUCACCACAAAGCAACCACAAAAACACACAAAAUCACCGCUGAAAAGACAGAAAAUGAUCUCAAAGACACCAAACAACCACUGUAGGUCAGAAACAGACCAUAAAAACACACAAAACAACCACAAAAAGACAGAAACUGACCCCAAAAACACAUAAAACAACCACAAAAUCACCACAAAACAACCACAAAAACACAUAAAAUCACCACGAAAAGACAGAAAAUCAUCUCAAAGACACCAAACAACCACUGUAGGUCAGAAACAGACCAUAAAAACACACAAAACAACCACAAAAAGACAGAAACUGACCCCAAAACACAUAAAACAACCACAAAAUCACCACAAAACAACCACAAAAACACAUAAAAUCACCACGAAAAGACAGAAAAUCAUCUCAAAGACACCAAACAACCACUGUAGGUCAGAAACAGACCAUAAAAACACACAAAACAACCACAAAAAGACAGAAACUGACCC
Molecule: long non-coding RNA, 490 nt
Organism: Acanthochromis polyacanthus (spiny chromis)
Lineage: Eukaryota; Metazoa; Chordata; Actinopteri; Pomacentridae
Exons: 3
Source: RefSeq, a predicted model, not a curated record